UACGAAGGGGGCUAGCGUUGCUCGGAAUCACUGGGCGUAAAGCGCACGUAGGCGGGUCCUUAAGUCAGGGGUGAAAUCCCGGAGCUCAACUCCGGAACUGCCUUUGAUACUGGGGAUCUUGAGUCCGGAAGAGGUGAGUGGAACUCCGAGUGUAGAGGUGAAAUUCGUAGAUAUUCGCAAGAACACCAGUGGCGAAGGCGGCUCACUGGCCCGAUACUGACGCUGAGGUGCGAAAGCGUGGGGAGCAAACAGG
Molecule: ribosomal RNA, 253 nt
Filed under: uncultured bacterium
Lineage: Bacteria
Description: partial 16S ribosomal RNA
Rfam family: Bacterial small subunit ribosomal RNA
Source: RNAcentral